UACGUAGGGACCAAGCGUUGUUCGGAUUUACUGGGCGUAAAGGGCGCGUAGGCGGCGUGGUAAGUCACUUGUGAAAUCUCUGAGCUUAACUCAGAACGGCCAAGUGAUACUGCUGUGCUAGAGUGCAGAAGGGGCAAUCGGAAUUCUUGGUGUAGCGGUGAAAUGCGCAGAUAUCAGGAGGAACACCGGUGGCGAAGGCGGUUCUCUGGGCAUUACCUGACGCUGAGGAGCGAAAGUGUGGGGAGCGAACAGG
RNAcentral lists this ribosomal RNA (253 nucleotides) under uncultured bacterium. Its description in RNAcentral is "partial 16S ribosomal RNA". It matches the Rfam family "Bacterial small subunit ribosomal RNA", at positions 524 to 776 of the family's 1533-position model. The record is from RNAcentral.